GCCAUGCCGCGUGCAGGAAGACGGCCUUCUGGGUUGUAAACUGCUUUUGCCAGGGGAUAAAACGUCCUUGCGUGGAAAAUUGAAGGUACCUGGUGAAUAAGCCACGGCUAACUACGUGCCGGCGGCCGCGGUAAUACGUAGGUGGCAAGCGUUGUCCGGAUUUAUUGGGUUUAAAGGGUGCGUAGGCGGCCUAUUAAGUCAGUGCUGAAAUAUCCCGGCUUAACCGGGAGGGUGGCAUUGAUACUGAUGGGCUAGAGUACAGAUGAGGUAGGCGGAAUUGACGGUGUAGCGGUGAAAUGCUUAGAUAUCGUCAAGAACACCUAUAGCGAAGGCAGCUUACUAGGCUGUAACUGACGCUGAGGCACGAAAGUGUGGGGAUCAAACAGGAUUAGAUACCCUGGUAGA
Molecule: ribosomal RNA, 405 nt
Filed under: uncultured bacterium
Lineage: Bacteria
Description: bacterial SSU rRNA
Rfam family: Bacterial small subunit ribosomal RNA
Source: RNAcentral